RNAcentral lists this ribosomal RNA (374 nucleotides) under uncultured bacterium. Its description in RNAcentral is "bacterial SSU rRNA". It matches the Rfam family "Bacterial small subunit ribosomal RNA", at positions 524 to 898 of the family's 1533-position model. The record is from RNAcentral.
UACGUAGGGUGCAAGCGUUAAUCGGAAUUACUGGGCGUAAAGCGUGCGCAGGCGGUUAUGCAAGACAGAGGUGAAAUCCCCGGGCUCAACCUGGGAACUGCCUUUGUGACUGCAUAGCUAGAGUGCGGCAGAGGGGGAUGGAAUUCCGCGUGUAGCAGUGAAAUGCGUAGAUAUGCGGAGGAACACCGAUGGCGAAGGCGAUCCCCUGGGCCUGCACUGACGCUCAUGCACGAAAGCGUGGGGAGCAAACAGGAUUAGAUACCCUGGUAGUCCACGCCCUAAACGAUGUCAACUGGUUGUUGGGAGGGUUUCUUCUCAGUGACGUAGCUAACGCGUGAAGUUGACCGCCUGGGGAGUACGGCCGCAAGGUUGAA